GAUUAAACAAGUAAUUUACAUUGGUUUCUUAUAAUAAUAAUAGGAGAUUCUGCUGGUUUCACAGAUUUGGCCUGUGUAGUUUAUGCAGGGACUAAACAACCAGAAAUGGAGAUCUCACCUGUUUUUCACAUUCAUGACUUCUGUUACCUGUAGCAGUGUCUGAUGCAACUGCCUUCCACCUCUCUCCACAGGGGCUCUUUCUCUUUGCUGUACCCUGGACAUUUCAGUGUUGUGAGCUUGAGCUUUCUUUAGUUAGUUCAAAGAUGCUCUCACUAAAGUGUCCAUUGCCCUCUGGAAUUGCGUCCAGGAAACCUCUGCUCCCAUGGGGACCUCAGGUGUUUUUCUGCUUUAGCCUGUACUGUUCUUUAGAGGAGAAUUUGUGAGAGUCAUUGGGAAGCCGUAAGGAAGCUGCAGUAUGUGAACAGAUAUUCUACAAUGUAUGAAAUCUGGGCAUACUUUUAUAAGGCUUUGGGCUAAAUACUGGGUCUGGAAGCUAUGAGGUAAGAUCCUUCUUCUAGUGCUUAUGGGUGUCUUUAGCUCGUUUCAUAAAAAUAGGUGCUGAUUUCAAGUGCUCUAAGAUCUUCAGUUUGGAUUUUCAUUGGUCAGUUAUAUUAUUUGAUGUUCCAAAGAUGAGCUUCAAAGAUUAAUUUCUUUCCGUCUCCACACUGAGAUCCAUUUUUAUUGUUUUCUUCAGCUCAGUCUUCGGGUUAUUUGAUAAUGCAGCUGCUGGUAUUCUCUUCAUGAAACUGACUGUCUUAUGAAGCUAAGUGCUACGAGGCCCUGUGCUGGCUGGUUUUAUAAUAGCAGUUUUCCUGUGAAAAUAGCAGCACUCUUAUUCUCAGAUUCAUA
RNAcentral lists this long non-coding RNA (849 nucleotides) under Phasianus colchicus (ring-necked pheasant). RNAcentral describes it as "lncRNA (ENSPCLG00000011582.1)". Lineage: Eukaryota; Metazoa; Chordata; Aves; Galliformes; Phasianidae. The record is from RNAcentral.